UGAAGUAGUUAUUAAGCGUGGCCAUGUC
RNAcentral lists this small RNA (28 nucleotides) under Bombyx mori (domestic silkworm). RNAcentral describes it as "ovarian small RNA-30990". Lineage: Eukaryota; Metazoa; Arthropoda; Insecta; Lepidoptera; Bombycidae. The record is from RNAcentral.